CCUACGGGAGGCAGCAGUGGGGAAUAUUGGACAAUGGGCGAAAGCCUGAUCCAGCAAUGCCGCGUGAGUGAAGAAGGCCUUCGGGUUGUAAAGCUCUUUUUACCCGGGAAGAUAAUGACUGUACCGGGAGAAUAAGCCCCGGCUAACUCCGUGCCAGCAGCCGCGGUAAUACGGAGGGGGCUAGCGUUGUUCGGAAUUACUGGGCGUAAAGCGUACGUAGGCGGCCAUUCAAGUCAGAGGUGAAAGCCCGGGGCUCAACUCCGGAAUUGCCUUUGAAACUAGGUGGCUUGAACACGGGAGAGGUGAGUGGAAUUCCGAGUGUAGAGGUGAAAUUCGUAGAUAUUCGGAAGAACACCAGUGGCGAAGGCGGCUCACUGGACCGUUGUUGACGCUGAGGUACGAAAGCGUGGGGAGCAAACAGGAUUAGAUACCCUGGUAAGUCCACGCCGUAAACGAUGAGAACUAAGCUGUCAGGGCUCUUAGAGCUUUGGUGGCGCAGCUAACGCAUUAAGUUCUCCGCCUGGGGAGUACGGCCGCAAGGUUAAAACUCAAAAUGAAAUUGACGG
RNAcentral lists this ribosomal RNA (566 nucleotides) under uncultured bacterium. RNAcentral describes it as "bacterial SSU rRNA". It matches the Rfam family "Bacterial small subunit ribosomal RNA", at positions 338 to 916 of the family's 1533-position model. The record is from RNAcentral.